GAUGAACGCUGGCGGCGUGCCUAAUACAUGCAAGUCGAGCGAACGGACGAGAAGCUUGCUUCUCUGAUGUUAGCGGCGGACGGGUGAGUAACACGUGGAUAACCUACCUAUAAGACUGGGAUAACUUCGGGAAACCGGAGCUAAUACCGGAUAAUAUUUUGAACCGCAUGGUUCAAAAGUGAAGGACGGUCUUGCUGUCACUUAUAGGUGGAUCCGCGCUGCAUUAGCUAGUUGGUAAGGUAACGGCUUACCAAGGCAACGAUGCAUAGCCGACCUGAGAGGGUGAUCGGCCACACUGGAACUGAGACACGGUCCAGACUCCUACGGGAGGCAGCAGUAGGGAAUCUUCCGCAAUGGGCGAAAGCCUGACGGAGCAACGCCGCGUGAGUGAUGAAGGUCUUCGGAUCGUAAAACUCUGUUAUUAGGGAAGAACAUAUGUGUAAGUAACUGUGCACAUCUUGACGGUACCUAAUCAGAAAGCCACGGCUAACUACGUG
Molecule: ribosomal RNA, 497 nt
Filed under: uncultured bacterium
Lineage: Bacteria
Description: partial 16S ribosomal RNA
Rfam family: Bacterial small subunit ribosomal RNA
Source: RNAcentral